GAUGAAGAACGUAGCGAAAUGCGAUAAGUAGUGUGAAUUGCAGAAUUCAGUGAAUCAUCGAAUCUUUGAACGCACAUUGCGCCCUUUGGUAUUCCUUAGGGCAUGCCUGUUCGAGCGUCAUUUAAACCUUCAAGCUCAGCUUGGUGUUGGGUGACUGUCCGCUUCACCGCGGACUCGCCUCAAAAUUAUUGGCGGCCGGUACAUUGGCUUCGAGCGCAGCAGGAACGCGAACUCGGGCCCGUCGUAUUGGCUCCCAGAAGCUAUCUUCACAAUUUUGACCUCGGAUCAGGUAGGGAUACCCGCUGAACUUAAGCAUAUCAAUAAGCGGAGGA
RNAcentral lists this unclassified non-coding RNA (332 nucleotides) under soil metagenome. RNAcentral describes it as "partial contains 5.8S ribosomal RNA, internal transcribed spacer 2, and large subunit ribosomal RNA". The stretch from base 1 to 120 matches the Rfam family "5.8S ribosomal RNA", at positions 35 to 154 of the family's 154-position model. The record is from RNAcentral.